CACGUAGGGGGCGAGCGUUGUUCGGAAUUACUGGGCGUAAAGGGCAUGUAGGCGGCCUUGUAAGCCUGGCGUGAAAGUCCACAGCUCAACUGUGGGAUUGCGUCGGGAACUGCGAGGCUUGAGUCACGGAGGGGAAGGUAGAAUUCCUGGUGUAGGGGUGAAAUCUGUAGAGAUCAGGAAGAAUACCAGUGGCGAAGGCGACCUUCUGGCCGAUGACUGACGCUGAGGUGCGAAAGGGUGGGGAUCAAACAGG
RNAcentral lists this ribosomal RNA (253 nucleotides) under uncultured bacterium. RNAcentral describes it as "partial 16S ribosomal RNA". It matches the Rfam family "Bacterial small subunit ribosomal RNA", at positions 524 to 776 of the family's 1533-position model. The record is from RNAcentral.